Long non-coding RNA from Cygnus olor (mute swan), 1923 nucleotides. RefSeq lists it as uncharacterized. Lineage: Eukaryota; Metazoa; Chordata; Aves; Anseriformes; Anatidae. The transcript has 2 exons. The record is from RefSeq and is a predicted model, not a curated record.
ACUUCUUCUAAUACGUAAAAUAGAAGGUGAAAAGUUCAUUCAUUCAAAACUACAACUUUUUACAUAGGUGAUCAAGUGUUUUAUCGUAAUAGAGAUCCUAACAGAAAGACAGUUACUUGAAAGAAAAUGGUUAAAUAAUUUGUUAGGAAAUGGGAUUAAAUAUGGUAAAAGUUAUUUCCCAGCCUUGGCAUCCAGCAGGGAGCCUCACUGGUGCCUGGAUAAGCAGAGAAAAGCCUUGUACACAGACCUUGAUAUCUCCCCAGUAAAGUCAUAUUUGUAGUGAAGGACAUUGAUAGAGAUUCUCAAAAAAAGUGUGCUGGGGAAGAAUAGGGGGGGAGGUUAGGGGAGGUAGACAGAAAACACAGCACAGCCUUUCAGAACAAGAAGUCCUCUCCCAGAUUUACAUUUUCCAAACCAUUGACGUAUGUGAAAGAAAACAGGCGAUAAAUUUUCAUUCUCAGCGUACAUUUAAAGCCAACACUUCAAUUAUUACUAUCAGUCCUGUAGUCCACUGCACUCCCAUUUUUACCUCCCCCAACUUAUGAAUGAUACUUUCCAAGUUUUCAGCAGUUUUACAAAGCAGUACUUUUUUGUGCACCCAAUCUGCAGGUGCAGCAAAGACCUUGGCAAGGGGCAAACUGAUUAUCACUUGUGAAAACAGUUACACCGUAUUGUUCAUACUUCUUCAAGGUCUUGAGCAAAGCAUAAAUUCACAUGAAAAUGAAGUUAUUGCAGUUCAAGCAUCAGACAGCUAACCAGGUAAGUCUUACUGUUGCUUGCAGAAAUGAUUUUACAAUAUUUUGCAAUUUAUUAAUGUUUUUUUUCUCUCAUGCAUUUUUUGGGUAAUUCUAAUAGGUAUUUUUGCAACUUUUAAAUCACAAACCCUUAAGGAUUGUGCUGUAAUUCUGAUUUCUUAAAGCAAAGACACUGUAUUGUUACUGACUUGUAAUUCAUCUUCAGAUCACUUAUACGGAGAUGACUUCAUUUUUUCUUUCUGACAGCUCUGUGUUUUUUUGUAUAUAUUUCAAAAUAGGAAAUUACACUGAUGAAUUUUUACAAUGCAAAACAGUUUAAGUCCCUGCUUAAUCAUAGGCAUUUAUGUUGGUUGUUUCAUGCUUUAACUUCUUUUCUUCCAGACUGAACUAGUUUUUAACAGUCUUAUAAUAUUGAGUUGAAAGAAAAAGCAUUGUGCAAAAUAUAUAUAUAUAUAUAUUACUUUUUAAUCUAUACAUUUAUAUUGCAGGUUUACUCUUUAUACUCUUGACACAAGCAGAGUUGAUCUUGAUUCAGCUCGUUGUUCCUUUUUCCUAUGCAUAUACUUCUUUGAGAAUUGGAUCUAAAGAAGCAUAAGGCAUGGGAAAAUGGGGCGACUGAGGUACUUCACCAUUCAUUCCAAACAGCAUUGUCAAGACGACUACAGAAAUGUAUAGAGAACACAGACAUAUGAAGAACUGAAAGGUGUCUUUGAAGAGGAACUGUAGAAAUUAUUUAGUCCCCCUCCCCCCCAUUAACAUUAAACAUUUUUUUAUAUUUCUGUCCAGCUACUUUUGUUUAGCCUAAAUAGAAAUUAAUCAUAUCAGCUCUGGGAAAAAUAUUGUUAUGAAACAAUGUAACUGUACAUAUCACAUAUCAAAUAAAAAUCUAAUAUUUCAGACACAGAUCAAAAGUUUGUGUUAUCCUACAUCCCAAAGUAUAUCAAGGUUUGUAAAACUAUAUGCUUUGAAAAAGCAACACUGGGUGCAUUACAAGCCAUAUUUCUCGGUUGUUAUUAUUAUUCCAUACUAUUCCAGCCUAAAUUGCUAUUUUAACAAGCUACUGUUUCAUUUCAUUUCAUUGUCUCUAACACUACUAUCAGAGCACAAUUCUAUUUACAUGUCACUUUUUCUUGCUUAAAUUAAAAGACAAUAAAAAGAGCAUACACAA